This is a non-coding RNA of Caenorhabditis elegans, 21 nucleotides long. The record is from Ensembl. NCBI's taxonomy places the organism in Eukaryota, Metazoa, Nematoda, Chromadorea, Rhabditida, Rhabditidae.
UAACGCAGGAUGCAAAUUUAA